This 468-nucleotide ribosomal RNA is filed under the name uncultured bacterium. Its description in RNAcentral is "bacterial SSU rRNA". It matches the Rfam family "Bacterial small subunit ribosomal RNA", at positions 329 to 793 of the family's 1533-position model. The record is from RNAcentral.
UGCCAGACUCCUACGGGAGGCAGCAGUGAGGAAUAUUGGUCAAUGGGCGGAAGCCUGAACCAGCCAAGUCGCGUGAGGGAAUAAGGCCCUACGGGUCGUAAACCUCUUUUGCCGGGGAGCAAGGGCCGGGACGCGUCCCGGCCCGGAGAGUACCCGGAGAAAAAGCAUCGGCUAACUCCGUGCCAGCAGCCGCGGUAAUACGGAGGAUGCGAGCGUUAUCCGGAUUUAUUGGGUUUAAAGGGUGCGUAGGGGGUUAAUUAAGUCAGCGGUGAAAGUUUGUGGCUCAACCAUAAAAUUGCCGUUGAAACUGGUUGACUUGAGUAUAUUUGAGGUAGGCGGAAUGCGUGGUGUAGCGGUGAAAUGCAUAGAUAUCACGCAGAACUCCGAUUGCGAAGGCAGCUUACUAAACUAUAACUGACACUGAAGCACGAAAGCGUGGGGAUCAAACAGGAUUAGAUACCCGCGUAA